This is a non-coding RNA of Xyrichtys novacula (pearly razorfish), 1732 nucleotides long. NCBI's taxonomy places the organism in Eukaryota, Metazoa, Chordata, Actinopteri, Labriformes, Labridae. The record is from the annotation of a GenBank genome assembly.
CCCAACAGACAGGAACAUCAGGAGGUGUAGGAAGACUGUACUGUAAUUCCUACAGCACUGCAUUUCCAGUUUUCCCUAAGGAAAUUGUCCUAUGUUCACAUUUCUACUUUUGUUUUUUUGUUUUUUUUAUUGUGCUCUGCAGUGCUGUCUUUUUCUUUUCUGUAUCGCAAUGACAUGGUCUGUCAUCAAAUUACAGUCUCUUGCAAUCAAUGCAAUCAAUCUCCCACAUACACUGAGGUGUAACUUACAAUUUACAAUGAUUGUCAUCAAAACUUUAGCCAUAGUUUACAUCAGAACAUCCCUCCAGAGUACACUGUUAUAUUGACAACAUGACUAAGCAAUUUGACUGUCUUAUCCGUACACAAUGACACAAGGACUUGUCAUUCUGAUGGCACUGACAUGUUCAUUGACACAGAUAUUUACUUUUGAGAGAUGUACUAAGGAUUUUGAGCAAGAGACUGGCUUUUGCAGCUAAUCCAUGGUGUUUUGCUGUUUGUACAAAUUGUUUUGAGAAAAGAACUAACUGUUUUGCAAAUGUCGAGGAUGAUUCGAGAAAUGUACCAAAGCGACUGAGAAAAACUGUAAAAUGGGUCUCUGUUGAAUAGUCUCACCCCCCUCAACAUUUAGGCAUUAGUUCAGUUCAUAAGUCUGUACAUGCAAAAUGGUUGAACAAGCUGUCAUAAUAUGUCAAGCAUAUUUCUAUACAUGUCCAUUAGAUGUUCCUGAAUCUGUCCUGAAUUGGUAAAUUGCUCCCAGGUGAAUCUUGACUUUCUCUAACGGUGGGAAAUGUGUGAAGUAUUAGAUCAACCAAUGAUCAACCACUUUUCUGAAAUAGCUCAAAGGUGCAUCUCAUGAACCAUCAACUGGCAAGUAUAUAUAUUGCCGGAGCACAACACAAUGUUACAAUGUCUGACAAUGGAAGGACAAGGAAUUGGACGGGGUCAACAGCCAGAGAGAAGAAGAGGAAGAGGAGUGAGGCUGCGUGGCGGAGGAUAUGGGAGGCAAAACAGAGGAAGAGGCAGAGGACAUAUGCGCGUUCCUGAUGAGAUAAGAGCUACACUUGUAGACCAAGUUCUCAAUCAUGGGCUUACAAUGGCUGAGGCUGGCCGAAGGGUGCAGCCAAAUGUUGGGAGAACAACUGUGUCCUCAAUCAUUCAGACUUUUCGUUGACAGAACAGGUAUGUAAUCUAACAAUAGGCACUGUAAUGUAAUACUGUAUACUUUCUGUGAUGCUUUAUACAAUAUUGCAGUAUUCGACUUUCACUUUACAAUAUACAGUAAGUAUACUAUAUACAGUGACAUUGUAGGUGUAGGAAGACUGUACUGUAAUUCCUACAGCACUGCAUUUCCAGUUUUCCCUAAGGAAAUUGUCCUACGUUCACAUUUCUACUAUUGUUUUUUUUUGUUUUUUUUAUUGUGCUCUGCAGUGCUGUCUUUUUCUUUUCUGUAUCGCAAUGACAUGGUCUGUCAUCAAAUUACAGUCUCUUGCAAUCAAUCUCCCACAUACACUGAGGUGUAACUUCCAAUUUACAAUGACUGUCAUCAAAACUUUAGCCAUAGUUUACAUCAGAACAUCCCUCCAGAGUACACUGUUAUACUGACAACAUGACUAAGCAAUUUGACUGUCUUAUCCGUACACAAUGACACAAGGACUUGUCAUUCUGAUGGCACUGACAUGUUCAUUGACACAGAUAUUUACUUUUGAGAGAUGUACUAAGGAUUUUGAGCAAGA